UAACUCCUCAUGGAUCUUUGCAUAUUCUC
RNAcentral lists this non-coding RNA (29 nucleotides) under Mus musculus (house mouse). Lineage: Eukaryota; Metazoa; Chordata; Mammalia; Rodentia; Muridae. The record is from RNAcentral.